RNAcentral lists this ribosomal RNA (507 nucleotides) under uncultured bacterium. RNAcentral's name for it is "partial 16S ribosomal RNA". It matches the Rfam family "Bacterial small subunit ribosomal RNA", at positions 28 to 523 of the family's 1533-position model. The record is from RNAcentral.
GUUGAACGCUGGCAGCAUGCCUUACACAUGCAAGUCGAACGGCAGCGGGGGAGAAGCUUGCUUUUCCUGCCGGCGAGUGGCGAACGGGUGAGUAAUACAUCGGAACGUGCCCUGUAGUGGGGGAUAACUAGUCGAAAGAUUAGCUAAUACCGCAUACGACCUGAGGGUGAAAGUGGGGGACCGCAAGGCCUCAUGCUAUAGGAGCGGCCGAUGUCUGAUUAGCUAGUUGGUGGGGUAAAGGCCUACCAAGGCGACGAUCAGUAGCUGGUCUGAGAGGACGAGCGGCCACACUGGACUGAGACACGGCCCAGACUCCUACGGGAGGCAGCAGUGGGGAAUUUUGGACACUGGGCGAAAGCCUGAGCCAGCAAUGCCGCGUGGGUGAAGAAGGCCUUCGGGUUGUAAAGCACUUUUGUCCGGAAAGAAAUGGCUCGGGUUAAUACCUGGGGUCGAUGACGGUACCGGAAGAAUAAGGACCGGCUAACUACGUGCCAGCAGCCGCCGUAA